GUCUGUUUGGGCAAACUUGUGCUGGUUAAAGUCUUUAUCUUUAGAUGGAACUAACAAAAUGGUGCCACAACAGUUGACAUGGGGAAGUAGAGCAAUAUUUCCUGUCACAGCUUUCUACAGUAAACGGUCAAAAUUUCCCAAUAACGCACAACAAAUUCGCUAGAGACCACUGGAAGACUGACUGGAAUAAUUCAUCCCAGACUUCAAAUGCACGGCGGUGAAUUUUUCUCUCGCUAGAGACUGUGAAAGCACAUUUAAAGCAAUAGCAGCCUUGAAGAUGUGCAACUGCUAAAUUUGCAUAAAAAAAGCCCCAAUAAAUACUUGCAGUCAGUAUGUUUACCUAUAAUCAUGGAGUACACACAAUAAAUGGGUGUUAAACAAGCAGAAGGGCUCAUGUUACCCAAGAUUCAAUAUCACUCACAUUAUCUGAGCUAAACAAGUCUGGAACGGCACUGGCAUUAAGAAUUGGCAUAAAAUGAGUCCAUUUCGACAUGUAUUGGCAUAAAAUGUGAUGCGUGAGGCCAUUUCAACAUUCAUUAGUUACUAGUACAGUCAUUAGCGCACAUUCCUUUGCUAACUAUUGAUAACUAAUUAGGAAAUGCUAUCUGUAACAAAUUACCAUUUCAUUCUGUGUGGUUCAGAAAUCCACUGUUCACUCAACCAGUUGCUGAUGCAUAUUCCACUUUCACUAUUAAUGAUGACAAGCACAAAAGCAAUUGUUAGUGACAUGGGAAAAGAUAUCAGUUGGGUUAAUGCAAUUGAUGUCUCAUAAACAAGUAUUAGUUAAACUGGAAUAACUAUUGGAAAUAAUUGGAUUAGAAGCAACAACUGGAGUGAACAGUUGACCUGUGAACCGCAGAUCCCUGAAAGGAUACAGCCGAUUGCUUAACUAGUCAUUUUAAACACGCAGAUGCUAGUUAGUUUGAAAGGAAAGGAAAGGGGAAAAUGUAAAGGAACACACGUGACUUCAUCUUGACUGAUGUACAUCAUGAAAUCACAAAACGCUUGAAAAGAACACAUGAUCUCAUCUGGAGGAAACAGCAACGACAUGUUCACGCUGCUUGGACUCUUAUUCUGACGGCACCCAUUCACUGCAGAGGAUCCAUUGGUGAGCAAGUGAUGUACUGUAAAUUUCUCCAAAUCCGUCUCAAUGAAGAAUUGAACUCAUGUGCAUCUUGGAUGGCCUGAGGCACUGAAUCCAGUCCAGAGCGUAUGACACAUGAAAGCCUGCUUGUUAUUUGACCACCCUGAGCAGUUUAAGCCCACCUCCUCACAUUGUGCUCUCAUACACAUGACAUGCACAUUUCACCAAGUAUCUUUCAAGCAGG
Long non-coding RNA from Onychostoma macrolepis, 1328 nucleotides. RefSeq lists it as uncharacterized. The transcript has 3 exons. The record is from RefSeq and is a predicted model, not a curated record. Lineage: Eukaryota; Metazoa; Chordata; Actinopteri; Cypriniformes; Cyprinidae.